RNAcentral lists this ribosomal RNA (711 nucleotides) under Bacillus aerophilus. Its description in RNAcentral is "bacterial SSU rRNA". It matches the Rfam family "Bacterial small subunit ribosomal RNA", at positions 53 to 748 of the family's 1533-position model. The record is from RNAcentral. Lineage: Bacteria; Bacillati; Bacillota; Bacilli; Caryophanales; Bacillaceae.
ACAUGCAGUCGAGCGGACAGAAGGGAGCUUGCUCCCGGAUGUUAGCGGCGGACGGGUGAGUAACACGUGGGUAACCUGCCUGUAAGACUGGGAUAACUCCGGGAAACCGGAGCUAAUACCGGAUAGUUCCUUGAACCGCAUGGUUCAAGGAUGAAAGACGGUUUCGGCUGUCACUUACAGAUGGACCCGCGGCGCAUUAGCUAGUUGGUGAGGUAACGGCUCACCAAGGCGACGAUGCGUAGCCGACCUGAGAGGGUGAUCGGCCACACUGGGACUGAGACACGGCCCAGACUCCUACGGGAGGCAGCAGUAGGGAAUCUUCCGCAAUGGACGAAAGUCUGACGGAGCAACGCCGCGUGAGUGAUGAAGGUUUUCGGAUCGUAAAGCUCUGUUGUUAGGGAAGAACAAGUGCAAGAGUAACUGCUUGCACCUUGACGGUACCUAACCAGAAAGCCACGGCUAACUACGUGCCAGCAGCCGCGGUAAUACGUAGGUGGCAAGCGUUGUCCGGAAUUAUUGGGCGUAAAGGGCUCGCAGGCGGUUUCUUAAGUCUGAUGUGAAAGCCCCCGGCUCAACCGGGGAGGGUCAUUGGAAACUGGGAAACUUGAGUGCAGAAGAGGAGAGUGGAAUUCCACGUGUAGCGGUGAAAUGCGUAGAGAUGUGGAGGAACACCAGUGGCGAAGGCGACUCUCUGGUCUGUAACUGACGCUG